This 253-nucleotide ribosomal RNA is filed under the name uncultured bacterium. Its description in RNAcentral is "partial 16S ribosomal RNA". It matches the Rfam family "Bacterial small subunit ribosomal RNA", at positions 524 to 776 of the family's 1533-position model. The record is from RNAcentral.
UACGAGGGGGGCAAGCGUUGUUCGGAAUUAUUGGGCGUAAAGGGUGCGUAGGCGGCGCGGUAUGUCUCUUGUGAAAUCUCCAGGCUCAACUUGGAGUCUGCAAGGGAAACUGCCGUGCUUGAGGACUGGAGAGGAGACUGGAAUUUACGGUGUAGCGGUGAAAUGCGUAGAUAUCGUAAGGAAGACCAGUGGCGAAGGCGGGUCUCUGGACAGUUCCUGACGCUGAGGCACGAAGGUCAGGGGAGCAAACGGG